CGGAAGCCAUAAAGAACGUCCGCCGAUACUCGGGAGGAUGGUAGAGACUGGAGAAAGGCUCCACAAAUCCUGAACUGAAGAAACAGAAAAAUAACAGAUCCAGUUCCUUAAACCUGAAAGUGGACAUGCAUUGUUAAGGUCUCUUGUAGCUUGUGGAGGCAUGUGGACUACUAGACUUUGCUCACCUUCUGGGUGUCUGACUGAGAGUGAAAAUCUAUAGAAGAUAGAAGCCAACUAAGGUAUUGACAGUGCACUCACAGGUAAGUAGGGAAUUCUUCUUGAACUGAAAUUACACCCCUGUUGCCAG
This 307-nucleotide long non-coding RNA is filed under the name Dasypus novemcinctus (nine-banded armadillo). Its description in RNAcentral is "lncRNA (ENSDNOG00000052015.1)". The record is from RNAcentral. Lineage: Eukaryota; Metazoa; Chordata; Mammalia; Cingulata; Dasypodidae.